GUUUGUGAUUCUUUGGUCUGUUUGGAUGCCCCUUCCACCACCUAGAAGGGGUGGCUUUCUGCAGAGCCUCAUUUGCUUCAGUGAGCUCCGUGUGAGAAAGCAUGGCCAGGGCUAAGCGGUGAUGGAGCAAGUAGGGUGACAUGAUUGACACAAUGGAGCAAUGUCCCCUUGUCACAUGAGAAGACUGGUAUAACUAACCCUAGGGUGGUGAAGGAGGAUGCAAAUGCAAGCCUUGAUGUCUUCAAAGCUCCCAGAGUCCUUCCAGGGUCCUGCUGGAGAACUCCAUCUCUUGUACACCAAAGGUUGGCUGUGCAGUGCUGCCUCUCCCAGAGGUGAAAAGACCAAUUAAAUGCUGCUUGCUGCUGCUUGAAUCUCCAGUCCUUGGCAUAAAGCACAGGCUCAUGUGACAGUCAUUGGAGGACACAAUAGUAAAAAUGGAGUGGAGCGAGGAGGGCUAACAAAGCAUUAAAGGAGCCUACAGACUGUCUCCUUGCCCCUCCGCCCCUUCCCCAGUUAGCUGCUGGAAAAUAUUUCUUCAGAUUUGCUGUGUACCUUUGUUGCAAAACCUGACUGCACGUCUGUGGGUUCGUAGAUUAUCUGCACCGUGACAGCCAGACUAUGAAACCUUUGCUUGUGACUGCAGGUCUGGCAGUCUGCUGGCUUCAGUGGGGCUGCUGCCACGGGAUGCUGUUUUUCAGCAAUUUCAAGAGACUGAUUCUCACUGGCACAAUUCCAUGGAAGUCAGAUUUCUAAGCUGCAUGUAUCAUUGUUGUUGCUGGUUGUGCCUAUGGUGUCUGUGGUUGUACAGACUUAAUAGAAAGUGCUUCAUUCCUCACCUCCCAGUAUUCCAUCUACACGAGAGCACUGAUGGCAGAAAUCUUCUUGUGCUCCCCCAGGCUGGAAAAAAGUGUCAAUUGCACUAGAUCAUGGAGGGACAACUUGCUCUGGAAAAUAUGAGUAUGAAUGUAGUAAACCUUUUUGGUUUGAAUCAUUCAAAUGUCUAUAAGAACAUGUAUUUCUUCAAUGCUAAUACUCAGAAAGCGUUAAAUUAUAAAUAUAUGCUGCCUCUUCAAAGCACAAAACCUGUUUGUAAUCUCUAACAAUAAUCACAAUGGAAAAUGGAUAAGAAGACAUACCAUCUAAUUAGAAAUCAAAAGUGGCAAAUGGCAUAUAUUAUCCUAUUUACAAGACUGCACUAUAGAGGUGAACAAAUGUGUUCUCUAAGAACACUGAGAUGGUUAAAGGCCGGAAGCAUCUGACAUACAAGGAGAGGCUAAGACAGCUGGGACUGUUCAGCCUUCAGAAGGGAAAGCUCAGGGGGAUAUUUUCACCUGUAUAAACACCUGAUGGAGGGCAAGUAAAGAGGAUGAAGUCUGACUCCUCGCAGUGGUGCCCAAUGAGAGAGAGGACAAGAGGC
This is a long non-coding RNA of Oxyura jamaicensis (ruddy duck), 1417 nucleotides long. RefSeq lists it as uncharacterized. The record is from RefSeq and is a predicted model, not a curated record. The transcript is spliced from 5 exons. NCBI's taxonomy places the organism in Eukaryota, Metazoa, Chordata, Aves, Anseriformes, Anatidae.